Molecule: long non-coding RNA, 744 nt
Organism: Lathyrus oleraceus (garden pea)
Lineage: Eukaryota; Viridiplantae; Streptophyta; Magnoliopsida; Fabales; Fabaceae
Exons: 2
Source: RefSeq, a predicted model, not a curated record
UUAUGGGCUAUGAGUGUGUGAUAGUUAAAGAGGGGUAUUCAUAGAGAAAUGCUUGGGCCUAAGCCCAAGCUCUCAAUGAACAACCCUGGUUCACGAACAAGGUCAUGAUGCAGAACUUCGGAUCUCAGUAAUAUGCCAAGCCUUGAGCACUCUUUGCAUCGCCAUCUCGAAAUCUCAGGUCCAAACGCGAUUUGCACAGGAAGUUACUCAAGAAUUCAAAUCCAUAACUCAAAUCGGUCCCGCGCAAUUAACAUGUGAGCGACGCAACCAGCGUGAAUCCGAGCUUCAAACUCUAAUCGAAGAACCAAGAAUCUUGAUCGAGCGUGGAAAUCAAAAUGCAAUCAUCGAAAAGGAGUUUGCGAAACACAAUUCUUGCAUGCGAAAUCGAAAAUAACAAAACCAAUGCAAAGCAGGGAACUCACCGAUUCAAAGUUUCGGCAUAGACAGGGCUAGUAUACUUAUGGCAUGACAAAUUUGGGCACGGAUUAAGGGAGCGACCAAGAUCGGCAAUGGUUAGGAAGUUCUUUGCUUCAAUUGAUCAUGGCUAUGAGAUUGUGGGUGAAUAUGGAUGUUAAAAAUCAGAAUUUUUAGGUCACAUGUUAGUUUAGAUUUAUUUUUUGGAACAUUCCAAUGUAAUGUGCAAUGAGUUUAUCACAUGAACUAUGUAUUAACAUGAAUUUGUGCACGUGAAUCUUUUAUGAAUAAAGGUUGGAUUUUGAAUGAAAAAUUGAAAAUUAAAUGAAA